UGCGUGUGUGCGUGCGUGUGUGCGUGCGUGUGUGCGUGCGUGCGUGUGUGCGUGCGUGCGUGUGUGUGUGUGUGUGUGCCUUUUAAAUUCGGCCUCACAAAAAUUCAGGUGAGUUGGGCUGGCCUGAGAGAAACCAUCAGCUUGGCCAAGUAAGGGAACCACUGAGUAAAACCAGAAAAUGAGGCAGAGGAGACAAUUCUGUGAAGAAUCAAGUAGUGCUUUUGGGUUUGAGAGGCCAGUGCUUAUCCGCACAGAGAUAUCCAGUGAGCAGCCAGGAGCCUGGAGGAAGAGAUGUCAGACCACGACAACAAGGUGACCCUGAGGGCUCAGCCCGCUCCUCCAUUGCCUCCUUGUCACCUCCUCACCAAUCGACAGGCGUGCUGAUCUUACCUUCUAAAUAUUUCUUGACUCUUUUCCUGCCUGCCUGCCUGCCGUGCACAACUCCAGGCCCUCGGCACCUCCUCCUUAGAUCACUGCCUUCCAUCAGCUCUCCCCUGACUCUCUCUGCCCCUUUAAAUCCCCCCAUCACACUGUCACCAGGGUCUUAUCCGAAAUGAAAUUCCUAGGAUCUCCCUUUCCUGUUUAAAGCCUGUCGCAUGCCUGUCUCCCUCUCAUUCUUCACCCCUGGGCACAAGUGUCCCCUCCUCCAGAAUGUGGUCCCUGAUGCCCCCGGAUCAGCCGGGGGACCCCGUGCGCUUAGACCUCACGUGCAUCCUGCCUGACCACACGGAGGCUUCGUUACCUAGGGGUAAGUGUUCCUCCCCCAGAGCCCGGGAGCCCCUCGGGCUGCAGCCAGACCUGGCAUCGCUACCCUCAGCACCUCUCCCAGUGCCUGGGGCACACGGGUGUUGCACUCAUCUUGGGAGAGAAGAAGGGAGGGGGAGAAAAAGCAAAGAGGGCCGGAUACUAAUCUUGAAAACUGUCUGCGUGUGGUGGAGGGUUAGUCACAGUUCCCGCGUCCUACCUGAGGGAGCUCAGCUUGCUGCAGAGGCAGGAGAACUUGGGGCUAACUCCUGGCCUGGCCUCCUCCUAGCUCUUUGGCCUUUGUCAGGCUGCCUAACCUCUGUGGGCCUCAGUUUUCUCUUCUAAAUAAAGGGGUAGGACCAGAUGGAACUCCACAGUCCCUUCAGCUCUGAAUCAAAGGGCACCAAGUGUCACCAGCCACAGGAGCCUUGGCCCCAUCUCAGCACCCAGCAACUUACCACCCAGAACCUCCUGCAUCUGCCCUGCACCCUCCUGCCUGGUCUCCUGACCUCCCUCUCCCCAAGCUGCAGGGAGCCCAUGGCAGCGUCAUUAGAAAGCAGUGACAGUCACAGCCUUGCCCAUGGACCCCACCAACAGCUUUCACGGGGCAUUAAAGUCAUGUGGCUUCUCUUCAGAGUUGAACCAGCUGUUGUCACGGGCUGGGCUUCCCUUCUCAUAAACUGCUGAAGCCCAGAUGGCCAUGUCUUUGGAUCUUCUUUAUUGUCUUCCUUUAAACCUCAUUAAAUUCCUCUUUCUACCUGCUGCUGGAGAGGAGUCUGCCAGGGCUUGGGGAAGCACAGCCCUCCUCCCACAGGUAGCCCCUCCUCCCCACCUAACUGGGCAACAGCCUCUGUGAAUAAGGAAUCGCUGGCGGGCUCAGGCUGGGCAUCGUGUGCCACUGUGGUGUCCUUGGGCCCUGCGCCGCUGUGGAGAGAUGGGGUGAAGGACACAGCCUCUCCCCCCAACAUUCCUCACAGUCUAGUCGGAAACACAGAAUCUAAGCUCCACAAGGGCAAGGACCUUGUCUUACUCACCACUGGAUUUCCUGCACCUAACACUGCAACUGCCACAUAGCAGACCUUCAAGAAAUAUCUGCUGGUUGAAUGAACGAGCAUCAUGUUCCUUGCCAUAUCCCCAGCUCCCAGCACAGCACUUAGUUCGUCAAGGAAGCAUGCUUCUUUGGAUCCAUCCACAUAAAAAUCCCGGGAAAAGCCUUUGAUGAGUUCUGCUUGGAUCACAUGCCCACUCCAGACCAAUCCCUGUGACUAGUGACCAACCCGGGUCAAGUGUCCUCCCAUGAUGAACAGCACCUUGACUGACAGAUCCAGGAAAAGAAGAGAAGUGUUCUCCCAAAGGAAGAGAUGCUGAGGAAAAUCAAACUACACGUCACCCCACGGCAGCCUUGCAGGUGUCCCAGGCAGCCAGGUGCCAUGUGUGGGUGGACACGCUGACAUCAUAUCCUCAUUCAGCGUAGGAGAAGGAAAGCUGUGGAACUCAGACCCCGGUGCCCUGGGGCUGGGAUGGAUCCCAGAGAGCAUCCACACCUUCUGCCAGUUGGGUACCCGGUCACCACCCUCCUCGGUUGGGGCAGGUGCAGGGGCUGAUGUGGCCUUUCUCCUGCCAGGAAGACGAGCAGGGACUUGAGCACAGAUCACCCCCUCCAUCAAUCUCCUCCAGAUCAAUACUCUCAACAUCACUUCAAUUUAGUACUUGUGCCAGGAAAGGAAAGAAAUUAAAAACAAACAAAGAUUUGUUCUUCUAUGCAGUGACCCUCCAGUUGAGUGAGUUUGGGGCUUUUCAUUCAAUGCCAAAUGCUGGUGGUCAAAUUAAAAACAGAGUACAAGACAAAGAAGACACUGAUGGAGAAGAAAUUCAUUGCAGAGAACCAAAUUCCACUACAGCAAAUUCAAUACAGACAGUCCUAAGACACAGUUCUUCAGUGGGAAAAAAUUGUCCUGCUACAUUCAGAACAGCUCUCUUCCCGGGUAGAAGGAAUGUUGCUUUUUUACACUUCGUGCUGGUACCUGGUGAGAGUCAUCCUGGCCCAGACAACACUUUCCUGUCUUCUGCACAUAAUAAAUAGUAUAAAUUUAUGCCAUGAAAA
Molecule: long non-coding RNA, 2848 nt
Organism: Physeter macrocephalus (sperm whale)
Lineage: Eukaryota; Metazoa; Chordata; Mammalia; Artiodactyla; Physeteridae
Exons: 5
Source: RefSeq, a predicted model, not a curated record